AAAGAAUGUUCUUCAACCACCAGUCUGGGCAGCCCCACAGAAAGUUUGACUGGGGGCCCACAACCCCACCAGCUGCAGGCCUUCCCCACACAGCCAUGCCCUGCCUGAGCUAUCAGCAGCACCUGGCACUGGCAGAAGCUUCUGGAAGCUGUGCUGCUGGGGGUGAGGUUGGAGAGAAAUAAGUCUCCUAAGGACCUGGAGGAGAGGAGUGUGAGGGAAGAACACCAAGGCUGCUGAUCCAACAGGUUGGUGCGAGCCCUGAAUUCAUCUCUACCUUGUGCAAGACCUUUGUGUUUUUGUUUACAACUUUACUUUCCUUAAAUGCAAAAAAAAAAAAAAAAACCUGCAGCACCUGUAUCUUCAUAGAAGUGCACAAUAAUCUGUUCAGAUUGAAGAUAACAGCAUUAAGGAAGUACAGAAUAUCCAGAGUUGGAAGGAACCCAUAAGGAUCAUUGUGAGUCCAAAUCUUUGCUCCACACAGCACCUCCCCAAAAUCGGACCAUAUCACUGAGGAUGUUGUCUGGACACUUCUUGAGCUCUGACAGCUGGGACUAUGCCUGCUGCCCUAGGGAGCCUAUUCUAGGCCCACCACAGUGUGGUGUGGAACCUUUUCCUAACACCCCACCUGUUUUAUGUCCUUUUGUGCCUCUGUGGCACUCAAAACUGGCACGGUUCUCAAGGUGAGGCUGUACCAGUGCAGUAUAGAGUGACACAACCACUUCCCUUGAGCAGCUAGCAAUGCCAUGCUUGACAUGGCCCAGCAUACAGUUGGCCUUCCUUGUUACCUGGGCACACUGUCAACUCAUGUUUCUGUUGAUCAGUGCUCCUAAGUCUCUUUCAGCAGGGCUGUUCUCUAGCAUCUCAUCCCCCAGUCUGUAUGUAUUCCCAGGUGCAGAACCUGACACUUGUUAAGCUUCAUGUGGUUGGUGAUAGCCCAGCUUUCUAAUUUGUCUAGAUCUCUCUGCAAGGCCUCUCCACCCUUGAUGGGGUCAGCAGCUCCUCCCAGUUUUGUAUUGUCAACAAACUUACUCAAAAUACCUUCUAGUCCUACGACCAAGUUGUCAACUAUGGUGCAGAAAAUAAUUUCUAUGAUGUAAAGCUAGAAUUUCUUACUUCUGCUAGUCAAUAUUUUCCCCCUAUUUUUGAAGUAAUUUAUAAUAGUUACUGCGUGAGCCAAAACUUGAACAUACCAUUCAAAUAGGUCUUUUUUGUCUUGUCAGCUGUUACUAAACUAACAAAAUGCAGAUGAGAUCUGCAGUAAGUUACAUGAAAUGUUGAAAUGUUUACCUUCCGUUUUCUGUAAUGGUAAGAUUAUCAACUUAUUGGAAUGCUAUAUCAACACUUUGACUUUCCUUGCUCAUCCUCAGUCUUUUGCAGAGACUCAGUGUCUUCAUGCCUUCCUAAAAUAUCUUCUUUUCUUUUUUUUUUCUUUCAAUGAACAGUUUCUGCAUAAAAAAAAAAAUAGAAAAGUGAAAUCCUAUGGCUUGUGUUAGGGGAAAAAGUAGACAUUAAAAAAAAGAUGAGAGACAAAAGAAGGAAUAAAUUAUUGCACUGGUUAUGGGUGGGAUUCUGGGUACUGUAUACCUUCCUGAAGUACGGUUUGUGUGGCUGUUCUCAGUUCUUUGUUUCAGAAUUAACUGACACCAUGAAAUGCGCUGUGGCAUGGUACUGCUCAGGGAGGGACACUGUGAUGCAUGUGAAGCACUAGGUUGCUGCAUUUGGCAUAGCAUUCAUUGCACUGUGACAGUGCCACAUGGUGUGAACUGUUGUCCUUGUGGCUCCUCUGCUGUUACCCAACGGAUGUUACUUGUCCAAAACCCAGUUAACUUGCGCAGCAGAGUGCCUUGCCUCAGUCAUGUAGGCAUUGUGCUUCUGCAUGCCUUUCCCCACUAUAGAAUUCUGUAUCCUGCUAUUUGUUACACCCUGUAAGCAGUGCAUGUGGCUCAUAAUGACUAGAGCCACAGUUCCAAUAUUUUUGAAGGGCUGGUUUAUACCUGUUGGCGUCGAUCCACUAAAACUGAGAAAAUGAGUUUUGUCUUAAUGCAGCUUAGUGCAGCUUUUCUUUCCUUGCAGCUGGACUCCUGCUUCUGACUGUAAUUGUGCAAGACCUAGCCCAAAUUUUUGUGAUAAAUGUAACACAGAACAACCAGCGAAGCAGGAAAAAAUUCUGCCCUUGUGAAUGCCUGCACAGAUAAAUAUGUAGGGCAGGAGUUGCUAUGUAAAGAAUAUGAUGUGAAAAAAAACGGUUUCUGUUAGGUAAUGGAGAAAAGCUUCAUAAGCUGUAACUCUGGUAACACUGAAUUCUUAUCUUCACAUUUUCCAUCUCGGUCAGAUUUUCUGAAGCUUUCUUUGUCCUAUGUCUUUGUGGGUAUCAUGUGUUUUGUACCUUUUCAAUUUGGGAAGAAGAAAAUGGCACAAAUCAUUCUUGUCUGUAUUCCUAGUAAUGUCAAAAACACAUUUCAGUGACACUGCCAGUUGGAGACUGUAGCUGAAAGCAUGAAAUAAAUUGCAGAAGACUGACAGGAACAAUUUACAGAAGGUGCAUUGUGCAAACAGACACAUGCAUGCUCUGCUAGCUGUUGGACAUAUGGUUGGUUUUGGAGUUACUGUAGUAACUUAAGCUAAGAGUGAGCACGCACUAUCCACUAAUUACAACAGGAAAACACUGGACCCUAUGCACUGCACUGACAAAUUGCUCCCAGUGGUCUCUAAGCUAUUUCACUGUUGUCAUUACAGCCCCUAGCAAAGGCAGGAUAUUUGAAGAGUAUGGUCUCUGCAACCCGUUAAAGAUAUUAUAUCCCUAUUUAUAGUCCAGUUCCACGAAUAGAAAAUUCCAACAGAAGAACAUUUGCUGUAGAAAUUUUGGAAUAUGGAGCUUUUAAAGGCAGUUGUUCAGUUUAUAUGCCAGGUAUUUAGAGGGGGGGAAAAAAAAGCAUUUAAAGCCACCUUGUUCAUUAACCUUUCAGUUCCUUGUAGAGCACUCUAAGGACAAGAAAGUGGUUGCAUUUAGACAUGUAAUGCUUCAGUGAAAUGGACUUGUGUGUGGGUACUGUUACAGCGCAGACUCCCAGUAAUUGCAUGUGGUUCCGUUCUACUGUGGUUGUACAAAGUAGAUGAUCUAAACUCUUCAGGCUCUUAGAAUCCCACCACCUUUUGCUGUAGGUGUUAUUCAGUCCUUUAUACCUUUGCAAAGCAAACAUGAAAUACCAGCAAUACCUGGCAUAACAGCAGUACCGUGGUUAUUGCUGGUUUGCAGUGAGUGAGAAAAUACGAGUAGAAGUUAACGACAAUGAUUUACAUCGCAUAGCUUUUGAUGUCUGCAUUAUAAUUUGGAGGAAAUGACAAUGUGGAUAUUAUCUGUCUAUCACAGUUUGAGUAGGAGCAAUGCAAGUCACCAAAUCAUUACUACUUUUGUAAGAUAUGUGAAGUGGGGUGAAAAACUGUUUUGUAUGCAACUGGCCCAAGAAAGGGGUUAGCUGAAUCAGACGUUAUUUUAAAAUACAUAUGUGUUUGUAGAAGAGGUAUUUCCAAAGUAUUCUGUAUCUAAAGGCUAAUUAGAACUAGUGUGUGCUGUGGGGACUAAGUCUAUACGUUCAUCUUUCAUUUCCUUCUAACAGCAGUUAGAUAACAGAUAAAAAGCAUUAAAGGUGAGAUUUUUGCUGUCUUGUAGUUACAGAAAAACAACCCAGAUGCUGGAUGAAGGCUUUCCUCUUUUUUUUUUGAGGGCACAUCCAAAUAAACCUGAAACACAAAGGCUCUUAAAAUGCAAAGUUUUUUUUCAUCUUCUUGGGAACUGUGACACACAGGCCUGACACCUGAUGAGUCCGUGUCACUACAGAAGCCUUAGGCACAGUGCUGUUUUGCUCUUUAUGCUGCAGAUUGCAGCUUGUGCUUAGUGAACACUGCACAUGUACUGGAGGUAAAAAGUUCAGCUUCUGCUCAAGGUCUGCAAGGAGCUUUGUUUCAACAAGAUUAGAAGAGACCUUUGGUUUUCAUUUUUCUCUGUGCUUCGCUUCAUGACAAGUUUUGUAGGGGGGAGUUGUCACUUCAGAGGCUGGGAGCGCUGAUUCUUUUUGUCUCUUCUGCGCCUGCUGUAUGCAACUGCGUGGCUUAUUCAGAACUGAACUGCCUUGGUCCCAGUAAAGCAGCUGGGCUGAAGGAGAGUAUUCCUGAAAUGUGAUGGCAAAAAUAGUGUUAUUGCACUUGUAGUUUGGAGAUUAAAAAAUGAACUAUUUAUGCAACAUCUGUCUGGUAACUUGCAAAUCUCUCCGUGAAAUUCCAUUUUAAACAAAGGGUUAGUAUUAUUGGUCUAGUAAGAGCUAGUAAGGGAGGACAGGUACAGAGGGAUCAGAUGACUUGUUCAGAGUGCUGUGGUGAGUUGGUGGCAGCUGGCUUCUCUGCAGCUGUUUAUAUUCUGCGGUCUCAUCACAAAUCUGCCCUUAAUUAUGAGAACAGCCUGCUCUGAAGGUUUCACAGCAGUUCUAAGGCAACUUUUAAGCAAAAGCAAAUAGCCAUUUUGCAUUACCUACAGAAUCAUUUGUUAUGUGGGCUGUUGUAUACUUCACAUAGGCCAG
This is an RNA transcript of Numida meleagris (helmeted guineafowl), 4574 nucleotides long. RefSeq lists it as uncharacterized. The transcript is spliced from 3 exons. NCBI's taxonomy places the organism in Eukaryota, Metazoa, Chordata, Aves, Galliformes, Numididae. The record is from RefSeq and is a predicted model, not a curated record.